AAUAGGUAAAAUUCCAACAACUAAAGCCACAAUAGCAUCAGAUUAGGGUUUCUGCAGCCACACUCCAUUUACAGAAUGAGAUUCAUUUCUCAGUGAUGCUUCCGCAGAUUUCCCAAUCUCAUUCGUCCCGAACAAAAAAAAAACCCACAAUGGCAUUCAAACUAAAAACCCCUUACAAUAAUAGUGCAAGAUAGGAAAAUUGACAGUGUGCAAGAUCCAAAAAAUCAACCUUUCUCCCAUUGCUUCUUCAUAUGCAAGACACUCACACCCACACUAGCAUCCAAAUUCUUGUCCCUGAUUCAAGAAAAGAAUAACCUAAAUUCUCGCAAGCUUCCGCCAAAAAAGCCCCACCUUUCGAAUCGCGUCUCGUCGAGUAUUCACCAUAGAAAUUAGCUUCUCUAUAACUCUCUCAGUCCCAUCCAAAAGGGAUUUCUCAAUCUCACUUUUCCAUUCCUUCAAUUCAUCUGAUAACAUAAAACUACUCCCCUCACUCUGCAUAUCAUGAACCCUACCCUUCCAUAUCGUCUUGACCACGCCGUAACUAGGGUUUGAUGUUUCUGCUUCGAAAUACUUGAGAGUAGAUUCAACUGCAAAUAAGCUGCUUUAAUGGCGGCACUGAUUGAAUUUGAAGUUGAGGGGUCGCGAUAAAGUAACAGUUUUUCUAGUACCUCAAGGGAGCAUAGAUUCUGAGGAUAAAUGCUUCGACAGGGCGUCUUGGAGGGUUCUGAGGAUGAUGAUUUUAUUGGUGCGGUCAUCAGUGUGGGAGUGUGAGAUUCUGGAAACGAGUUUGUUGAUGAUGUUGAUCUUUAUUGUUUAGUUUCUAACGAGGUAUUCCAAACACCAUUCCCUCGCUUCGUCUUACAUUUUAUUCUCUUCCAAUAUUUUUUAGAUUUUUCCUUUUUUUUUUCUCUAUUUGUUAAACAAAAAUGAAUCUACUCUCAAAUAUCUAGAAGCAGGAACGUCAAACCCUAGCUACGGCGAAACAAUCAAGAGUAUAUGGAAGCAUGGUUGUCAAACUCGCGGGUAGACUCGUAAACUCGUACGAGUUUACGAGUCUAAGAAGAAUAAACGAGUAGACUCGCACAUAGAAUCAUUUUUUGACAGACUCGAGUAAACUGGGGUAGACUCGCACAAACUCGUAUAGACUCGCGAGUCUAUCAUGAGUUUACGAGUCUAUAAGUUUCUUUUUAAUUUUGUUUUUAAACCAAUAAAGGUCCAAAUUCCCCCAAAAAAAUUAUUUUUUAUUUUUUAAAAUCCUGAUUUUGUUUUGGUUGUACAAGAAUUAGAAAGCCUCUCUCUCUCUCUCUCUCUCUCCUAGUCUCUAGUAUGAGAUUUCUAUGGAGAUAUGACUCCAGAAUUAAAGAGGUUUGCAAUUCAUGUCCAAAGCUUAACUUGUAGCUCCUCUGGUUGUGAAUGGAAUUGGGGUUUUGGAAGUCAUUUUUGAUUUUCCAUAGACUCGUACGAGUUUGCGAGUCGAGUCUACGAGUCGAGUCUAUGGACCCUUUACGAGUCUGAGUAGACUCGCGAGUUUGACAACCUUGUAUGGAAGGGUAGGGUUCAUGAUAUGCAGAGUGAGAGAAGUAGUUUUCUGUUAUUAGAUGAAUUGAAGCAAUGGAAAACUGAGAUUGACAAUUCGCUUUUGGAUGGGAGAGUUAUGGAAAAGCUUGCUUGUAUAGUAAAUUCUCGAAGAGACGCCAUUCGAAGGCUUUUUUUUGGCUGAAACUCGGGAGAAUUUAAGUCCUUUUCUUGAAUCGGGGGCGAAUAAUCAAUUAGAUGCGAGUGUGGCUGUCUUGAAGAUGAAGAAGCAACAGGAGUAAGGUUGAUUUUUUUUCUAUCUUGCACCUUGUGAAUUUUUUCUAUCUUGCCUUAUUAUUGUAAGGGGUUUAGUGUGGAUGCUAUUGUGGCUUUAGUUGGAAUUUUACCUGUUUUUUUGGAGAAAGUUGGAAUUGUGAGUUCAGUUCAUGAUGGUUUUGUUGUGAAUUUGUGAUUUAUUACAAUGCUUAGUUUAUUAGUUUUUGUAUUGGAUUCUGUUGAGUUUGAGAAGGAAACUAGUUGAAUAUGAUGCAAACUCAAUUGCCAGAAGCAAAGUGAAUACAAAAUUGUUUUUUGGAUUCUCA
Long non-coding RNA from Vicia villosa (hairy vetch), 2117 nucleotides. RefSeq lists it as uncharacterized. The record is from RefSeq and is a predicted model, not a curated record. The transcript has 2 exons. NCBI's taxonomy places the organism in Eukaryota, Viridiplantae, Streptophyta, Magnoliopsida, Fabales, Fabaceae.